Molecule: ribosomal RNA, 492 nt
Filed under: uncultured bacterium
Lineage: Bacteria
Description: partial 16S ribosomal RNA
Rfam family: Bacterial small subunit ribosomal RNA
Source: RNAcentral
AGUGAACGCUGGCGGUAGGCCUAACACAUGCAAGUCGAACGGCAGCACAGUAAGAGCUUGCUCUUACGGGUGGCGAGUGGCGGACGGGUGAGGAAUACAUCGGAAUCUACUUUUUCGUGGGGGAUAACGUAGGGAAACUUACUCUAAUACCGCAUACGACCUACGGGUGAAAGCAGUGGAUCUUCGGACCUUGCGCGAUUGAAUGAGCCGAUGUCGGAUUAGCUAGUUGGCGGGGUAAAGGCCCACCAAGGCGACGAUCCGUAGCUGGUCUGAGAGGAUGAUAAGCCACACUGGAACUGAGACACGGUCAAGACGACUACGGGAGGGAGCAGAGGGGAAUAUUGGACAAUGGGGGCAAGCCUGAUACAGCCAUACCGCGUGGGUGAAGAAGGCCUUCGGGUUGUAAAGACCUUUUGUUGGGAAAGAAAAGCAGCAGGUUAAUACCCCGCUGUUCUGACGGUACCCAAAGAAUAAGCACCGGCUAACUUCGUG